RNAcentral lists this long non-coding RNA (1291 nucleotides) under Anser cygnoides (Swan goose). RNAcentral describes it as "lncRNA (ENSACDG00005002615.1)". Lineage: Eukaryota; Metazoa; Chordata; Aves; Anseriformes; Anatidae. The record is from RNAcentral.
ACAGAAAUACAAGUAUGGGAGUAGGGGAGGAAGAGAUAGAAAAGCAAAAUAAAAAAAGAACAGGACACAGAGGAGAAUGUCGACAGGACCGCGUACAGUUGAUAUGGGGACUGAAUCGAGGAUGCAACUAGUGAAACUGUGGGAAGGGUCUGGUGCCAAAGGCCACCCACCAAAGGAAAAGAAACUCCCAAGAUUCAUGACAUAUCUCCAUCUCUAUCUGCACUCUAUCUGCAACUAUCUAUGUGCCUACUAGACUCUACCUGCAUCUGACAGCUUAAUUUUCUGAGUACCAUUUUGGCAGCAAACUGAAAUUCCUCCCUUCCCAUGUUCUGGGAAGAGCAACUACCCCCACACGGCACGAGGGGGAAAGCUGGAGGGGGGCACUGGGAAGGGCUCAGUAGCCAUCCUGCUGCACAGUGAAGACUGCUCUUCAGCUAGGGCCCGUGUCAGACCCCAUGAGCUCACACUUAGCAUUCAGUGUUGUUCUUCUGCUCAGGACAGGACCUUCUGGUGGCUGUGUCUGCAGGACGGCCCCAAUUUCCACCACUGUGGCAGUGCCUAGUACCUCUGGUGCUGCUGGUCUUAGUACGGCCCAUGCUGAGGAUCCCUAAGCAUGCUGCAGAACCAGUCCUGAAGAUCUCCAGAGUCUCCUCUCUCCAUCCCCGCUGGCCAGACCACAGCCAAGGAUGUGAAGACACCCCACCAAAGCAGCAGGCAGCGGUAGGGUUGGUUCAGAUACCUGCACUGAGGGACAUGAGAGGAUCUGUGACCACAUAGCAAGGGAGGUCAGUCCAAGAUUAGCUGGGCACUGGGGCUCAAGCUGGGUUGGGAGGACAUCUUUACAAGGGUAGGCAGCAGCCUGGCAGGAGCGACGAAAUGCAUUUUCUCAGCUAGGCUCUGGGGCCAAAGAUUCAAACCCAAUGGUGGGAGUUAUCUGAAUGUAAGGAUGUAAGGAAGGCUUUUUCUUCCUGUAAAACAUUGCCCAACUGGUGAGGUACUUUAUGGAUAGUGUUGGAACGGAUGGGAAGGAUGGUCUUGUAAUUGUGGGAUUCAGUGGCAAAUCAGGAAAUCUGGGUUUAAUAACCAACUGUGACACAGAUUUCCUGUGUGACCUUCUCCAGAUCACUUACUCACCCUAUGACUCAAGUCCCAGUUUGUAAUAUGGGGCAGCAACCCUUCUUUUCUCACACUGUCCUGUCUAUUUACACAGCUCAUCUAUGGGGCAGGUGUUUCCUUCAGCUACACGUAACAUGUUGCUCCAAAGAGAUCAUUUUUAGUUUGGUUCCCUUCU